RNAcentral lists this long non-coding RNA (469 nucleotides) under Lathyrus oleraceus (garden pea). RNAcentral describes it as "Pisum sativum (pea) long non-coding RNA (PSAT_LNC001980)". The record is from RNAcentral. Lineage: Eukaryota; Viridiplantae; Streptophyta; Magnoliopsida; Fabales; Fabaceae.
UGUGUGCUAAAAUUUUGUGUAGGGGAGGAGGAGAAUUAAAAGGGCAAAGUCACAAACACCUCCAAAUGGAAGGAAACCACACAAGUGCAGUAAACCAACAGUAGUCGCUGUGAGUCCCCUUUGUAUCUGGAUUUAAACAUUGAGGUCAAUGUUUAGUUCAGGUGUGGGGGGGUUUUUCCUUUCAUGUUUUAUUUCCAUCGCUUUUGUUUUUGUUGUCGUCGUAUUGUUUUUGUUUGUUUUCGUUGUUUACUUGUGUGUACAGAGUGAUGAGAAAUGGUUGGACGAAUCCGGGAUCAAUGGUAGUGGAUGAAUGACACCCCUCAAACUUAGGCUGAUAAGGCACCCCGGAAGUUGAUGCAACCUUGAGAAAAGAAGUCGGACACAAUUUGGGGACACCGGACCAAGAGAGCGGUAUGGAAAGACCAAGUCAGAAAAGAACCACAUAACACGAGGAGACUUCAGAGCUUGC